This 447-nucleotide ribosomal RNA is filed under the name uncultured bacterium. Its description in RNAcentral is "bacterial SSU rRNA". It matches the Rfam family "Bacterial small subunit ribosomal RNA", at positions 329 to 793 of the family's 1533-position model. The record is from RNAcentral.
CACCAGACUCCUACGGGAGGCAGCAGUGGGGAAUAUUGCACAAUGGGGGGAACCCUGAUGCAGCGACGCCGCGUGAGUGAAGAAGUAUUUCGGUAUGUAAAGCUCUAUCAGCAGGGAAGAAAAUGACGGUACCUGACUAAGAAGCCCCGGCUAACUACGUGCCAGCAGCCGCGGUAAUACGUAGGGGGCAAGCGUUAUCCGGAUUUACUGGGUGUAAAGGGAGCGUAGACGGCGAUGCAAGUCAGAUGUGAAAACUGAGGGCUCAACUUUCAGACUGCAUUUGAAACUGCUGUUCUUGAGUGAAGUAGAGGUAAGCGGAAUUCCUAGUGUAGCGGUGAAAUGCGUAGAUAUUAGGAGGAACAUCGGUGGCGAAGGCGGCUUACUGGGCUUUUACUGACGCUGAGGCUCGAAAGCGUGGGGAGCAAACAGGAUUAGAUACCCCAGUAG